GGUCAAGCGAACAAGUGCAUGUGGUGGAUGCCUUGGCGAUCACAGGCGAUGAAGGACGCGGUAGCCUGCGAAAAGCUACGGGGAGCUGGCAAACAAGCUUUGAUCCGUAGAUGUCCGAAUGGGGAAACCCACUCCUUUUGGAGUAUCCAUGGCUGAAUACAUAGGCCAUGUGAAGCGAACGCGGUGAACUGAAACAUCUAAGUAACCGCAGGAAAAGAAAUCAACCGAGAUUCCCAAAGUAGUGGCGAGCGAAAUGGGAUGAGCCUUGCACUCUUUAUUUGUAUUGUUAGCCGAACGCUCUGGAAAGUGCGGCCAUAGCAGGUGAUAGCCCUGUAGGCGAAAACAGUAUGAAAGAACUAGGUGUGCGACAAGUAGGGCGGGACACGUGAAAUCCUGUCUGAAGAUGGGGGGACCAUCCUCCAAGGCUAAAUACUCGUGAUCGACCGAUAGUGAACCAGUACCGUGAGGGAAAGGCGAAAAGAACCCCGGGAGGGGAGUGAAAUAGAUCCUGAAACCGCAUGCAUACAAACAGUCGGAGCCUCGUAAGGGGUGACGGCGUACCUUUUGUAUAAUGGGUCAGCGACUUACGUUCAGUAGCAAGCUUAACCGUAUAGGGCAGGCGUAGCGAAAGCGAGUCCGAAUAGGGCGUUCAGUUGCUGGGCGUAGACCCGAAACCAGGUGAUCUAUCCAUGGCCAGGAUGAAGGUGCGGUAACACGUACUGGAGGUCCGAACCCACUAACGUUGAAAAGUUAGGGGAUGAGCUGUGGAUAGGGGUGAAAGGCUAAACAAACCUGGAAAUAGCUGGUUCUCUCCGAAAACUAUUUAGGUAGUGCCUCGUGUCUCACCUUCGGGGGUAGAGCACUGUCAUGGUUGGGGGGUCUAUUGCAGAUUACCCCGCCAUAGCAAACUCCGAAUACCGAAGAGUGCAAUCACGGGAGACAGACAUCGGGUGCUAACGUCCGGUGUCAAGAGGGAAACAACCCAGACCGCCAGCUAAGGUCCCCAAAUAUAGCUAAGUGGGAAACGAAGUGGGAAGGCUAAAACAGUCAGGAGGUUGGCUUAGAAGCAGCCACCCUUUAAAGAAAGCGUAAUAGCUCACUGAUCGAGUCGUCCUGCGCGGAAGAUGUAACGGGGCUAAGCUAUAUACCGAAGCUGCGGAUGCGUGCUUAGCACGCAUGGUAGGAGAGCGUUCCGUAAGCCUGCGAAGGUGCCUUGUAAAGGGUGCUGGAGGUAUCGGAAGUGCGAAUGCUGACAUGAGUAGCGAUAAAGGGGGUGAAAGGCCCCCUCGCCGUAAGCCCAAGGUUUCCUACGCAACGUUCAUCGGCGUAGGGUGAGUCGGCCCCUAAGGCGAGGCAGAAAUGCGUAGCUGAUGGGAAGCAGGUCAAUAUUCCUGCACCAUUGUUAGAUGCGAUGGGGGGACGGAUCGCGGAAGGUUGUCCGGGUGUUGGAAGUCCCGGUCGCUGCAUUGGAGAAGGCGCUUAGGCAAAUCCGGGCGCGGAAUUCAAGGGUGUGGCGCGAGCUCCUUAGGGAGCGAAGCAAUUGGAAGUGGUUCCAAGAAAAGCCUCUAAGCUUCAGUCUAAUGAUGACCGUACCGCAAACCGACACAGGUGGGCGAGAUGAGUAUUCUAAGGCGCUUGAGAGAACUCGGGAGAAGGAACUCGGCAAAUUGGUACCGUAACUUCGGGAUAAGGUACGCCCUUGUAGCUUGACUGGCUUGCGCCAGAAGGGUGAAGGGGUUGCAAUAAACUGGUGGCUGCGACUGUUUAAUAAAAACACAGCACUCUGCAAACACGAAAGUGGACGUAUAGGGUGUGACGCCUGCCCGGUGCCGGAAGAUUAAAUGAUGGGGUGCAAGCUCUUGAUUGAAGUCCCGGUAAACGGCGGCCGUAACUAUAACGGUCCUAAGGUAGCGAAAUUCCUUGUCGGGUAAGUUCCGACCUGCACGAAUGGCGUAACGAUGGCCACACUGUCUCCUCCCGAGACUCAGCGAAGUUGAAGUGUUUGUGAUGAUGCAAUCUACCCGCGGCUAGACGGAAAGACCCCAUGAACCUUUACUGUAGCUUUGCAUUGGACUUUGAACCGAUCUGUGUAGGAUAGGUGGGAGGCUAUGAAACCGGAACGCUAGUUUCGGUGGAGCCGUCCUUGAAAUACCACCCUGGUUUGUUUGAGGUUCUAACCUUGGCCCGUGAUCCGGGUCGGGGACAGUGCAUGGUAGGCAGUUUGACUGGGGCGGUCUCCUCCCAAAGCGUAACGGAGGAGUACGAAGGUACGCUAGGUACGGUCGGAAAUCGUGCUGAUAGUGCAAUGGCAUAAGCGUGCUUAACUGCGAGACCGACAAGUCGAGCAGGUGCGAAAGCAGGUCAUAGUGAUCCGGUGGUUCUGUAUGGAAGGGCCAUCGCUCAACGGAUAAAAGGUACUCUGGGGAUAACAGGCUGAUACCGCCCAAGAGUUCAUAUCGACGGCGGUGUUUGGCACCUCGAUGUCGGCUCAUCUCAUCCUGGGGCUGUAGCCGGUCCCAAGGGUAUGGCUGUUCGCCAUUUAAAGAGGUACGUGAGCUGGGUUUAAAACGUCGUGAGACAGUUUGGUCCCUAUCUGCCGUGGGCGUUGGAUAUUUGAAGGGGGCUGCUCCUAGUACGAGAGGACCGGAGUGGACGAACCUCUGGUGUACCGGUUGUCACGCCAGUGGCAUCGCCGGGUAGCUAUGUUCGGAAGAGAUAACCGCUGAAAGCAUCUAAGCGGGAAACUCGCCUUAAGAUGAGAUAUCCCUGGGGACUAGAUCCCCUUGAAGGGUCGUUCGAGACCAGGACGUUGAUAGGUCAGGUGUGUAAGCGCAGUAAUGCGUUCAGCUAACUGAUACUAAUUGCCCGUAAGGCUUGAUCCU
Molecule: ribosomal RNA, 2882 nt
Filed under: Burkholderia contaminans
Lineage: Bacteria; Pseudomonadati; Pseudomonadota; Betaproteobacteria; Burkholderiales; Burkholderiaceae
Also listed under: 1 other name
Description: 23S ribosomal RNA
Rfam family: Bacterial large subunit ribosomal RNA
Source: RNAcentral